CAUUACUGAACUUGAAUCUCAGAGUUUGUUGCUGGCAUUUUUUNNNNNNNNCAGGUGCACGCUUNGAUAUUUAAUAACCCACACACACCUGUGCACUUUUGUAGAAGCAUGUGUUAUAAAAUGCAAAGAGCGGUUCAAGAGAUUCAGUUCUCUACGCUUUCUUUGCUCACAUGUGUCUUCUAUGUUUUUAUACAUACCCUUAUAAAAGUCUAUAGAACGUUUUUACAUUCAGACAUGUAACAGUGUCUCGAAUAAAAAUCUAAUACAACUUUCAACAAUGGAUCUCUUGGCUCUUGCAUCGAUGAAGAACGCAGCGAAAUGCGAUAAGUAAUGUGAAUUGCAGAAUUCAGUGAAUCAUCGAAUCUUUGAACGCACCUUGCACUCUUUGGUAUUCCGAAGAGUAUGCCUGUUUGAGUAUCAUGAACAUCCUCAACCGAUUUGUUUUGUUAUAUAAAACAAAAUCGGCUUGGACUUGAAGGUUGCAGGCGAAAUUGAAAUUUCUGUCAGCUCCUUUUAAAUGCAUUAGCAGAGAAAGCUUAGGUGUGAUAAAAUAUUGAACGCCUUUUUCUUUUCUCAGCUUCUAACCUUGUGUUUUGACGGAUUUAUAACUGUUAAACGCACAUUAAAGCAACUUUGAUCUCAAAUCAGGUAGACUAC
RNAcentral lists this small RNA (657 nucleotides) under uncultured Sclerotium. RNAcentral describes it as "eukaryotic LSU rRNA". The stretch from base 267 to 420 matches the Rfam family "5.8S ribosomal RNA". The record is from RNAcentral. Lineage: Eukaryota; Fungi; Basidiomycota; Agaricomycetes; Agaricales; Typhulaceae.